GGUUAAGCGACUAAGCGUACACGGUGGAUGCCCUGGCAGUCAGAGGCGAUGAAGGGCGUGCUAAUCUGCGAUAAGCGCCGGUAAGGUGAUAUGAACCGUUAUAACCGGCGAUACCCGAAUGGGGAAACCCAGUGUGACUCGUCACACUAUCAUUAACUGAAUCCAUAGGUUAAUGAGGCGAACCGGGGGAACUGAAACAUCUAAGUACCCCGAGGAAAAGAAAUCAACCGAGAUUCCCCCAGUAGCGGCGAGCGAACGGGGAGGAGCCCAGAGCCUGAAUCAGCAUGUGUGUUAGUGGAAGCGUCUGGAAAGGCGCGCGAUACAGGGUGACAGCCCCGUACACAAAAGCGCAUGUGCUGUGAGCUCGAUGAGUAGGGCGGGACACGUGGUAUCCUGUCUGAAUAUGGGGGGACCAUCCUCCAAGGCUAAAUACUCCUGACUGACCGAUAGUGAACCAGUACCGUGAGGGAAAGGCGAAAAGAACCCCGGCGAGGGGAGUGAAAAAGAACCUGAAACCGUGUACGUACAAGCAGUGGGAGCCCCACCACCAAAGCAUUUGCUGUACCGCGUUGACGGAGCGAAGCGACGUCAAACCGAUAAAACAGCAGUGUAAAGUGAGCCGC
RNAcentral lists this ribosomal RNA (623 nucleotides) under Salmonella enterica subsp. enterica serovar Enteritidis. RNAcentral's name for it is "partial 23S ribosomal RNA". It matches the Rfam family "Bacterial large subunit ribosomal RNA", at positions 1 to 596 of the family's 2925-position model. Lineage: Bacteria; Pseudomonadati; Pseudomonadota; Gammaproteobacteria; Enterobacterales; Enterobacteriaceae. The record is from RNAcentral.